RNAcentral lists this ribosomal RNA (448 nucleotides) under Rhizopus arrhizus. RNAcentral describes it as "eukaryotic LSU rRNA". It matches the Rfam family "Eukaryotic large subunit ribosomal RNA", at positions 237 to 609 of the family's 3401-position model. The record is from RNAcentral. Lineage: Eukaryota; Fungi; Mucoromycota; Mucoromycetes; Mucorales; Rhizopodaceae.
UUGCCUUUUGUGAUACGCUUUCAAAGAGUCAGGUUGUUUGGGAAUGCAGCCUAAAUUGGGUGGUAAAUCUCACCUAAAGCUAAAUAUUGGCGAGAAACCGAUAGCGAACAAGUACCGUGAGGGAAAGAUGAAAAGAACUUUGAAAAGAGAGUUAAACAGUAUGUGAAAUUGUUAAAAGGGAACCGUUUGGAGCCAGACUGGCUUGUCUGUAAUCAAUCUAGGCUUCGGCCUGGAUGCACUUGCAGGCUAUGCCUGCCAACGACAAUUUGACUUGAGGGAAAAAACUAGGGGAAAUGUGGCCCACUUGUGGGUGUUAUAGUCCCUUAGAAAAUACCUUGGGUUGGAUUGAGGAACGCAGCGAAUGCUUAUUGGCGAGUUUUCCAGGAAGGUUUUCUGAGGUACUACGGUAUCAAGGUUGAUCUUUUUGGUUAUACUUCUAUUCGCUUAG